This 644-nucleotide ribosomal RNA is filed under the name uncultured bacterium. RNAcentral describes it as "bacterial SSU rRNA". It matches the Rfam family "Bacterial small subunit ribosomal RNA", at positions 814 to 1458 of the family's 1533-position model. The record is from RNAcentral.
UACUAGCCGUUGGUCUCUUUGAGGGAUUAGUGGCGCAGCUAACGCGAUAAGUAGACCGCCUGGGGAGUACGGUCGCAAGACUAAAACUCAAAUGAAUUGACGGGGGCCCGCACAAGCGGUGGAGCAUGUGGUUUAAUUCGAUGCAACGCGAAGAACCUUACCUGGUUUUGACAUAGUAAGAACUUUCCAGAGAUGGAUUGGUGCCUUCGGGAACUUACAUACAGGUGCUGCAUGGCUGUCGUCAGCUCGUGUUGUGAGAUGUUGGGUUAAGUCCCGCAACGAGCGCAACCCUUUUCCUUAUUUGCCAGCACUUUGGGUGGGAACUUUAAGGAUACUGCCAGUGACAAACUGGAGGAAGGCGGGGACGACGUCAAGUCAUCAUGGCCCUUACGACCAGGGCUACACACGUGCUACAAUGGUCGGUACAAAGGGUUGCUACCUAGCGAUAGGAUGCUAAUCUCAAAAAGCCGAUCGUAGUCCGGAUUGUAGUCUGCAACUCGACUCCAUGAAGUCGGAAUCGCUAGUAAUCGCGGAUCAGAAUGCCGCGGUGAAUACGUUCCCGGGCCUUGUACACACCGCCCGUCACACCAUGGGAGUUUGUUGCACCAGAAGUGGAUAGUCUAACUGCAAAGAGGACGUUCACC